This 760-nucleotide long non-coding RNA is filed under the name Solanum tuberosum (potato). RNAcentral describes it as "long non-coding RNA (STUB_LNC011118)". The record is from RNAcentral. Lineage: Eukaryota; Viridiplantae; Streptophyta; Magnoliopsida; Solanales; Solanaceae.
AUAAGAUAAAAUCACUGGUAUACCGGAGAUGGUCAACCACCCUGAAAAAUCCCUUUUUACUCCGAUAACCUCAUUUUUGAGAUAAAAUUUUGAUGGAGAACUGCAUCUGAAAAAUGGGGUUCAACAAAAGCUGAAAAUCCAACUGCGUAUCUCAGUUCCUGAAACGACCAUCCAUUUAAGAUAAUCACACGCUUGCCAUAGACUAAAGGGCUCAGAUUUUGCUGUAUAAGAACAUGCAAAGAGAAAGCGACAUUGCCAUGGCUGCAGAUACACCGAUUUGCAAAUGGAUGCCUUACCGGGUCGCCCUGCCAAGAUACGAGUCGGAUUUUCUCAACGCAGUCAAGCAGAUUAUAGUCCAGAAAGAAGCAAAUCAUCAUCACAGCCCAUUUUAUCAGAUCAAUCAACAUCAAUAAAACACCUCAUUUACGUUCCGAACUCUUAAAAAAAGCAGCUACCUUGUUGUGUCAUUUCUACCUUGCAGAAGCACAAGCAGAAAAAGCAUAUAUAUAUUUGGAAUCUAUGGCCAAACGCCUGCAUGGUCUUGUUUUCAGUUUCUUGAUCUUUUCUUUUUCUCAAAGGACUGUUGUUUUUUUCUGAAUGGAGAAAGAAAUCAUGGACAUAAAUAGUAGAGAGGGGGCAAUCACCCUUUACAGAAAAUCCCAGCUCUCUGAUGUCUCAUUCUUCAUUCCUGGGCAAAACUAUGAUGAGGGUACUGCAAAAACACACUAUGUUAUACAUAUAUAUAUAUAUAGCACAAUAC